Molecule: non-coding RNA, 124 nt
Organism: Brachypodium distachyon (stiff brome)
Lineage: Eukaryota; Viridiplantae; Streptophyta; Magnoliopsida; Poales; Poaceae
Source: Rfam
GUGAUACUCCCUCCGUCCCAUAUUAAGUUACUUUCUAUUACAUGUAUCUAGACGCUUUUUAGGCAUAGAUACAUCCAUAUCUGGAAAUUUUGAGUCACUUAAUAUGGGACGGAGGGAGUACAAU